RNAcentral lists this ribosomal RNA (255 nucleotides) under uncultured bacterium. RNAcentral describes it as "partial 16S ribosomal RNA". It matches the Rfam family "Bacterial small subunit ribosomal RNA", at positions 524 to 776 of the family's 1533-position model. The record is from RNAcentral.
UACAGAGGGUGCGAGCGUUGUCCGGAAUCACUGGGCGUAAAGGGCGCGUAGGUGGCGACCCAAGUCGAUGGUGAAAGCUCGCCGCUCAACGGCGAGUCGGCCACUGAUACUGGGUUGCUGGAGCACUGUAGAGGCAGAUGGAAUUCCGGGUGUAGCGGUGGAAUGCGUAGAGAUCCGGAAGAACGACCGGUGGCGAAGGCGGUCUGCUGGGCAGUUGCUGACACUGAGGCGCGGACAGCGUGGGGAGCAAACAGG